Molecule: ribosomal RNA, 245 nt
Filed under: uncultured bacterium
Lineage: Bacteria
Description: partial 16S ribosomal RNA
Rfam family: Bacterial small subunit ribosomal RNA
Source: RNAcentral
UACGAAGGGGGCUAGCGUUGUUCGGAAUUACUGGGCGUAAAGCGUGCGCAGGCGGUCUCUCAAGUCAGGGGUGAAAGCCCAGAGCUCAACUCUGGAAUUGCCUUUGAAACUGUGAGGCUUGAGUGCGGGAGAGGUGAGUGGAAUUCCCAGUGUAGAGGUGAAAUUCGUAGAUAUUGGGAAGAACACCGGUGGCGAAGGCGGCUCACUGGCCCGUUUCUGACGCUCAUGCACGAUAGCGUGGGGAU